RNAcentral lists this ribosomal RNA (1436 nucleotides) under Lactiplantibacillus pentosus. RNAcentral describes it as "bacterial SSU rRNA". It matches the Rfam family "Bacterial small subunit ribosomal RNA". The record is from RNAcentral. Lineage: Bacteria; Bacillati; Bacillota; Bacilli; Lactobacillales; Lactobacillaceae.
UGCAAGUCGAACGAACUCUGGUAUUGAUUGGUGCUUGCAUCAUGAUUUACAUUUGAGUGAGUGGCGAACUGGUGAGUAACACGUGGGAAACCUGCCCAGAAGCGGGGGAUAACACCUGGAAACAGAUGCUAAUACCGCAUAACAACUUGGACCGCAUGGUCCGAGUUUGAAAGAUGGCUUCGGCUAUCACUUUUGGAUGGUCCCGCGGCGUAUUAGCUAGAUGGUGGGGUAACGGCUCACCAUGGCAAUGAUACGUAGCCGACCUGAGAGGGUAAUCGGCCACAUUGGGACUGAGACACGGCCCAAACUCCUACGGGAGGCAGCAGUAGGGAAUCUUCCACAAUGGACGAAAGUCUGAUGGAGCAACGCCGCGUGAGUGAAGAAGGGUUUCGGCUCGUAAAACUCUGUUGUUAAAGAAGAACAUAUCUGAGAGUAACUGUUCAGGUAUUGACGGUAUUUAACCAGAAAGCCACGGCUAACUACGUGCCAGCAGCCGCGGUAAUACGUAGGUGGCAAGCGUUGUCCGGAUUUAUUGGGCGUAAAGCGAGCGCAGGCGGUUUUUUAAGUCUGAUGUGAAAGCCUUCGGCUCAACCGAAGAAGUGCAUCGGAAACUGGGAAACUUGAGUGCAGAAGAGGACAGUGGAACUCCAUGUGUAGCGGUGAAAUGCGUAGAUAUAUGGAAGAACACCAGUGGCGAAGGCGGCUGUCUGGUCUGUAACUGACGCUGAGGCUCGAAAGUAUGGGUAGCAAACAGGAUUAGAUACCCUGGUAGUCCAUACCGUAAACGAUGAAUGCUAAGUGUUGGAGGGGUUUCCGCCCUUCAGUGCUGCAGCUAACGCAUUAAGCAUUCCGCCUGGGGAGUACGGCCGCAAGGCUGAAACUCAAAGGAAUUGACGGGGGCCCGCACAAGCGGUGGAGCAUGUGGUUUAAUUCGAAGCUACGCGAAGAACCUUACCAGGUCUUGACAUACUAUGCAAAUCUAAGAGAUUAGACGUUCCCUUCGGGGACAUGGAUACAGGUGGUGCAUGGUUGUCGUCAGCUCGUGUCGUGAGAUGUUGGGUUAAGUCCCGCAACGAGCGCAACCCUUAUUAUCAGUUGCCAGCAUUAAGUUGGGCACUCUGGUGAGACUGCCGGUGACAAACCGGAGGAAGGUGGGGAUGACGUCAAAUCAUCAUGCCCCUUAUGACCUGGGCUACACACGUGCUACAAUGGAUGGUACAACGAGUUGCGAACUCGCGAGAGUAAGCUAAUCUCUUAAAGCCAUUCUCAGUUCGGAUUGUAGGCUGCAACUCGCCUACAUGAAGUCGGAAUCGCUAGUAAUCGCGGAUCAGCAUGCCGCGGUGAAUACGUUCCCGGGCCUUGUACACACCGCCCGUCACACCAUGAGAGUUUGUAACACCCAAAGUCGGUGGGGUAACCUUUUAGGAACCAGCCGC